AGGGAUUGCCUUAGUAACGGCGAGUGAAGCGGCAAUAGCUCAAAUUUGAAAGCUGGCCCCUUCGGGGUCCGCGUUGUAAUUUGUAGAGGAUGAUUCGGCGAGGGCUCCCGUCUAAGUCCCUUGGAACAGGGCGUCAUAGAGGGUGAGAAUCCCGUAUGUGAUGGGCUGCCUUAGCCAUGUGAAUCUCCUUCGACGAGUCGAGUUGUUUGGGAAUGCAGCUCUAAAUGGGAGGUAAAUUUCUUCUAAAGCUAAAUACCGGCCAGAGACCGAUAGCGCACAAGUAGAGUGAUCGAAAGAUGAAAAGCACUUUGGAAAGAGAGUUAAAAAGUACGUGAAAUUGUUGAAAGGGAAGCGCUUGCAGCCAGACUUGUCCGCAGUUGCUCAGCUUGUCUCCUGACAGGCGUACUCUUCUGCGGCCAGGCCAGCAUCAGUUCGGGCGGUCGGAUAAAGACCUAGGGAAUGUAGCUCCUCUCGGGGAGUGUUAUAGCCCUGGGUGCAAUGCGGCCAGCCUGGACUGAGGAUCUCGCUUCGGCUAGGAUGCUGGCGUAAUGGCUGUAAGCGGCCCGUCUUGAAACACGGACCAAGGAGUCUAACAUCUAUGCGAGUGUUUGGGUGUCAAACCCAUGCGCGUAAUGAAAGUGAACGGAGGUGGGAACCCUCACGGGUGCACCAUCGACCGAUCCUGAUGUCUUCGGAUGGAUUUGAGUAAGAGCAUAGCUGUUGGGACCCGAAAGAUGGUGAACUAUGCCUGAAUAGGGUGAAGCCAGAGGAAACUCUGGUGGAGGCUCGCAGCGGUUCUGACGUGCAAAUCGAUCGUCAAAUUUGGGUAUAGGGGCGAAAGACUAAUCGAACCAUCUAG
Molecule: ribosomal RNA, 859 nt
Filed under: Neofusicoccum kwambonambiense
Lineage: Eukaryota; Fungi; Ascomycota; Dothideomycetes; Botryosphaeriales; Botryosphaeriaceae
Also listed under: 1 other name
Description: eukaryotic LSU rRNA
Rfam family: Eukaryotic large subunit ribosomal RNA
Source: RNAcentral